CCUCCAUUUCUUGGCACGCGUGCAGUUUUGCAGUACUCAUGUGUGUAAUGUUCGGAGGAAAAGUGACCUACAACGCAAUGUCUUCGGUGCUGGUGUUUGUUUGUGCGCCAGUUCUAUCCUCAAUCGCUGUGACAUGA
This is a small nucleolar RNA of Dunckerocampus dactyliophorus (ringed pipefish), 137 nucleotides long. RefSeq annotates it as small nucleolar RNA SNORA57. The record is from RefSeq and is a predicted model, not a curated record. The transcript has a single exon. Lineage: Eukaryota; Metazoa; Chordata; Actinopteri; Syngnathiformes; Syngnathidae.